Molecule: ribosomal RNA, 265 nt
Filed under: uncultured archaeon
Lineage: Archaea
Description: partial 16S ribosomal RNA
Rfam family: Archaeal small subunit ribosomal RNA
Source: RNAcentral
ACACGACUACAUUAGAUACCCCGGUAGUCCUAGGCGUAAAUGAUGCGAGUUAGGUNUGGGGGCAUCUACGAGAUGGCCCUGUGCUGUAGGGUAGCCGUUAAACUCGCUGCCUGGGGAGUACGGUCGCAAGGCUGAAACUUAAAGGAAUUGGCGAGGGAGCACCACAAGAGGUGGAGGCUGCGGUUCAAUUGGACUCAACGCCGGAAAACUCAUCGGGAGCGACAGCAGUAUGAUUGCCAGGUUGAUGACCUUGCUUGACAAGCUG